This 252-nucleotide ribosomal RNA is filed under the name uncultured bacterium. RNAcentral's name for it is "partial 16S ribosomal RNA". It matches the Rfam family "Bacterial small subunit ribosomal RNA", at positions 524 to 776 of the family's 1533-position model. The record is from RNAcentral.
UACAGAGGUCCCAAGCGUUGUUCGGAUUCAUUGGGCGUAAAGGGUGCGUAGGCGGCGCGGUAAGUCGGGUGUGAAAUCUCGGUGCUUAACUCCGAAACUGCAUUCGAUACUGCCGUGCUUGAGGACUGGAGAGGAGACUGGAAUUUACGGUGUAGCGGUGAGAUGCGUAGAUAUCGUAAGGAAGACCAGGGGCGAAGGCGGUCUCUGGACAGUUCCUGACGCUGAGGCACGAAGGCCAGGGGAGCAAACGGG